Molecule: long non-coding RNA, 1370 nt
Organism: Bos taurus (domestic cattle)
Lineage: Eukaryota; Metazoa; Chordata; Mammalia; Artiodactyla; Bovidae
Source: Ensembl
UCUAAAUACAGACACUCAAACUCUCUCUCUCUUCCCCCUGCCCCACCACACACACACACACACACACACACAUGUCUCCUCAUCCAUUCUCUAUGGCAGGCAGGCACCUCGGGCAGCUCUAGAUGGGUGGGGCUGGUUCAGAGCCUUGGAACCUCAUGGAUGCGCUGAAUGAUCACUUACUGUGCAGAUGCUGCGCAGGGACAGAGUGCUACGUAAGCACCAGCCUCGGUCCUCUUUCCUGCCCCGGACAGGUGAAGCAGGUCCCUGACCUGCCCCCAGCUUCCCUUCCACACCCUCUAUGCCUAAUGUGCAUCUCUAGUUCCUUUGGAAAAAAGCCUUUGGCUGCAACAGGGAAGAUGGAAGUUCCAGCUCAGGAAUCCCCUCCCAGGAGGGAAGGGGUGUGAGUCUCUGAGUGUCAGAGAGGAGGGUGAAUCUGACGGGUUAGGAAGGUCCUGUCCGGACACAGAGGAAGGUCAAGGUGACAGCUCGAUGCCUAAGAGGUCACCCUUCACUGGCUUGUGACUCCAGGAAGGCCCAACCCCCAUACUUCUGUCCCUGUUUUUUCUUCUGCCUUGAGUCCACCACCCCUGCCCCCCACCCCCACCGCAGGGCUUCCUUCUCUUUAAGUCUCUACAUCCCUGCUCUUGGAGACUGUCCUGACGUCCUGGUUGAAUCAAUCUGUCCUUCUGUGCCCCAGCAGCUCUGUCACACUGUAGAGGACUUGCCUGGCUGUGAGCCCACCUGCCUCCAGCCAGCCUGGGCACCUCUGUCUGGCAGAGGAGGAUAGACCUGGAGAACUGGGCAGGUUUGAAUCCCAGCUCGGCCUCUGCUGUGUGACCCUGGACAAGUCACUGAACCACGUGAGUCCAGGGUCCUUAUCUGUGCAAUGGGGUGGUGAACAGCCGCCUCACCGGGUUGAUGUGAAGAUUAGAUGGGAUCAUGCAUGGCGGGGACUGUGCAAAUGGCAGCUGUAAUAUUCUAGCUCAUUGCCUGACACACAGCUGAGAAAACGUUUGUUGAAUUCAUCAGCCCCUCUGCUCCCCUGAGUGCUGCCCCCAUCUAUCCUUCCUGUCUUGGGAGGGGUGAAGCAGUCAUGAACAGAAAGGACUGGAGGGCAGAUAGAAUCAGAGGCUGGGAGAUGGGCAAGUAGGGUCUCCAGGCAUCUCUGGGAGCCCACUGCUCCAGCAACAGCUGGAGCCUAGCAGGAGACCGUGCAGGCGACGCUCUCGCACCCUGGUCACCCACCUGUGCCAUCAUCCUCGUCAGCUAGGUGAGGCAGCGGGCAGAGGUGGAGCUGGGACCCACCUCCAGCACUGUGGCUCUCCGAAGCUGCCCGAGGGCCCAUCGGCACACAGUAGGUGCGCUCUGAA